Molecule: ribosomal RNA, 253 nt
Filed under: uncultured bacterium
Lineage: Bacteria
Description: partial 16S ribosomal RNA
Rfam family: Bacterial small subunit ribosomal RNA
Source: RNAcentral
UACGGGGGGGGCAAGCGUUAUCCGGAUUUACUGGGUUUAAAGGGUGCGUAGGUGGGUCUGUAAGUCAGUGGUGAAAUCUCCGAGCUUAACUCGGAAACUGCCAUUGAUACUAUAGGUCUUGAAUUAUCUGGAGGUGAGCGGAAUAUGUCAUGUAGCGGUGAAAUGCUUAGAUAUGACAUAGAACACCAAUUGCGAAGGCAGCUCACUACGGAUUUAUUGACACUGAGGCACGAAAGCGUGGGGAUCAAACAGG